Molecule: ribosomal RNA, 504 nt
Filed under: uncultured bacterium
Lineage: Bacteria
Description: partial 16S ribosomal RNA
Rfam family: Bacterial small subunit ribosomal RNA
Source: RNAcentral
GAUGAACGCUAGCGGCAGGCUUAAUACAUGCAAGUCGUGGGGCAGCAUGAGUGUAGCAAUACAUUUGAUGGCGACCGGCAAACGGGUGCGGAACACGUACACAACCUUCCUAUAAGUGGGGAAUAGCCCAGAGAAAUUUGGAUUAAUACCCCGUAACAUAACGAUGUGGCAUCACAUUGUUAUUAUAGCUUCGGCGCUUAUUGAUGGGUGUGCGGCUGAUUAGAUAGUUGGCGGGGUAACGGCCCACCAAGUCUACGAUCAGUAGCUGAUGUGAGAGCAUGAUCAGCCACACGGGCACUGAGACACGGGCCCGACUCCUACGGGAGGCAGCAGUAAGGAAUAUUGGUCAAUGGACGCAAGUCUGAACCAGCCAUGCCGCGUGAAGGAUUAAGGUCCUCUGGAUUGUAAACUUCUUUUAUCUGGGACGAAAAAAGGCUUUUCUAAGUCACUUGACGGUACCAGAUGAAUAAGCACCGGCUAACUCCGUGCCAGCCGCCGCAGUAA